This 1065-nucleotide long non-coding RNA is filed under the name Sus scrofa (pig). RNAcentral's name for it is "lncRNA (ENSSSCG00065050328.1)". Lineage: Eukaryota; Metazoa; Chordata; Mammalia; Artiodactyla; Suidae. The record is from RNAcentral.
ACUCUCCUGAAAUCCACGCUGGCUUUAUCUCCCCAUCACGGUGAGGCCGUGAGGCGAACUGGUCUCAAAUCAUUUCCAAGUCUUUGAUCUAAAAUCCGGUUUUGAUGUGGCAGCUCCCACAGCACCAAGCGAGGCAUUAGACGACAUCCUCUGACUUGGAGGAAACAUCCGUACACUGAGCCUCCUGUUCUACAGGCAGCAAGAGGACUCCUGUGGUUUCACUGCCACCAGUCCGACAGGCUCCCCUGCCCUUAGGACAGGCAGGGCCUCAAGAGCAGGGUGUCUUCACCUCCACACUCUUCGUGUUUUGAUUGGCUGCUUCGUUGUGAGGCUGUCCUGAUGCUGCACAUGCGCAGAAGCUCCAGGGCAACACCCACCACCUCAGAUCUGCUGAGAGAGCUCCCCUGCUGUUGCACGGCUGGCAAGGUCACACAGCACAGGAGCGAAUCACGUGGCACAGAGCAGUAGGGGCAGGUUGAUACCAGAUGCCUCUGGGAGAGGCUGGUCAGCAGCCCUUGCAAAGAUGCCUGGAUCAGGUUAGUGAGGUUCCAGGAGGGAGCAGCAGCAGCAACAGGAGAGGCUCCAGUGGCUGCACAAUCUUAAGUGCAGGCUCACCGGCCAUUAUUCCUGGACCACAGGACACUGACAUCAGCUGGCUAUUCAAAGGCAACAGUGGCAUGAGCUGCCAGCCCAAGCUUCUCCCAGGUGCUCUUCAGAUUUACAGUGUAGAAGAUGCCAUCACUUUUCCUUUUGUAGAUGGACUGUCCACUGGGAAGUCAAGGUGGAUGCCACCCACGUGGGUUCCUGCUGUGAAGAAUCUGAGGCCAUCCUCCUCCUUCAUGUGCAGGACGUCAAGGGCUCCGGACAAGAAUUGGAGUCACUGGAUCAAAGGGAAUUAGGAAAUCUGCUUUUCAAUAAUCCAAGGAUCAAAUAAGAAAUUACAAUGGAAAUGAGAAUAUAUUUUGAAUACUAAAAACAUGUCAAAGUUCAUGGGUUGCAGUUAAAGCCUUGUUUUAGAAGGAAAUUUAUCACUUAAGAAGUUAAUAAAGACUGAAAAUCAAUUCA